CUUCAUCUGUUUCAAAUGUAAUCAACUAAGUUCGUUAGAUUAGAGCAGAAUACAGUUCUAAAAAAUCCUGUUGAUAAAUUUCGAAUUAAAUUAAGGUACUAGAAAAUCUUGCAAGGUUCAUUAACGUUCAAAUGGAGGCAUCGGUUUUAUUGUUCCUAUUAAGACCGGAUAUGACUGCGUUUUUAUACAUCCCUCACAGCAAAACAGGCACCAACUUGACAAACGUUUCACGGCAAGUCGAAAGAAGAACGAA
Molecule: long non-coding RNA, 253 nt
Filed under: Mytilus galloprovincialis (Mediterranean mussel)
Lineage: Eukaryota; Metazoa; Mollusca; Bivalvia; Mytilida; Mytilidae
Source: RNAcentral